Non-coding RNA from Podarcis lilfordi (Lilford's wall lizard), 72 nucleotides. Lineage: Eukaryota; Metazoa; Chordata; Lepidosauria; Squamata; Lacertidae. The record is from the annotation of a GenBank genome assembly.
AGGCUCAUAACUCACUGGUAGAACAUUUGCUUUGCAUCCAGAAGGUCCCAGGUUCAAUCCCUGGCAUCUCUA